RNAcentral lists this ribosomal RNA (468 nucleotides) under uncultured bacterium. RNAcentral describes it as "bacterial SSU rRNA". It matches the Rfam family "Bacterial small subunit ribosomal RNA", at positions 335 to 803 of the family's 1533-position model. The record is from RNAcentral.
ACUCCUACGGGAGGCAGCAGUAGGGAAUAUUGGUCAAUGGGUGAGAGCCUGAACCAGCCAUGCCGCGUGCAGGAAGACGGCCUUCUGGGUUGUAAACUGCUUUUACCAGGGGAUAAAAAGAUCUUGCGAGAUUAAUUGAAGGUACCUGGAGAAUAAGCACCGGCUAACUACGUGCCAGCAGCCGCGGUAAUACGUAGGGUGCAAGCGUUGUCCGGAUUUAUUGGGUUUAAAGGGUGCGUAGGCGGGCUAUUAAGUCAGUGGUGAAAUCCAGCAGCUUAACUGUUGAUGUGCCAUUGAUACUGGUAGUCUUGAGUACAGAUGAGGUAGGCGGAAUUGACAGUGUAGCGGUGAAAUGCAUAGAUAUUGUCAAGAACUCCGAUAGCGAAGGCAGCUUACUGGGCUGUAACUGACGCUGAUGCACGAAAGUGUGGGGAUCAAACAGGAUUAGAUACCCUGGUAGGAUAGCGU